CCUCAUUUCAAAUCCCCCCAACCCCAAGAAUCCAUGGAAUAAGAAAACCCUCGUCCUGAAUCCCACUCGCCGACCUCCACUUCCACCUCGUCUUCUCUCUUGCCUGAUCUUCUUUUUCAAUGGUUGCAGAUGUAGCAACGCUAUCCUUGUGCCGCUCUCUGGGAUUCAGACCUCCGAUGAACUCAUACCACGUCCCACAGUGCUCUAGCUCGAUUAUUCCCUCCUUCAAGAAAUCAAUGAUAAAUGCUAGCAGAAAUCCGCGGUGAAGGAGCAGCGACCAAAAAAGCAUGGGGGUUUCCUUGUGGGUAAAUACCAUAGAGUAUUUGCAGAAGCUGAACGAUGAUCGAAGUUAGGCUUACGCUGAUAUUUCUUUUGCCUUGAUGAUCAUCGCUGGCCCUGGAAUCAGGAAGGGUAUCACUCUGGCCAACAUUAUAGGAUGACUUUCAUGGCUGCUGCUACAUCAGAGUUGAGAAUAGGAUUGCGCUGGUGGUCGAAAGAGAUGGCGAAGGAUCUCUCAAUGGGUAUUUUCACUUGCUCUGUUUGCAGCUCUGAUGGCCGCACUCAGUAAAGCAAAAGCAUCUGGGGGAACUGAAAUACAAAAAAUUGGGUGACAAAUCAAGAGUUACCAGAGCCAUUAUGUUCAUACUUAGAACCACUGGUGGAUUUAAGGGGGGGCAAGGGGGUGCUUGAGCACCCCCUUGGCCCAUCAUAUAUAUAUAUAUAUAUAUUCAU
Long non-coding RNA from Dioscorea cayenensis subsp. rotundata (Guinea yam), 732 nucleotides. RefSeq lists it as uncharacterized. NCBI's taxonomy places the organism in Eukaryota, Viridiplantae, Streptophyta, Magnoliopsida, Dioscoreales, Dioscoreaceae. The transcript is spliced from 4 exons. The record is from RefSeq and is a predicted model, not a curated record.